AGUGAACGCUGGCGGUAGGCCUAACACAUGCCAGUCGAACGGCAGCACAGUAAGAGCUUGCUCUUACGGGUGGCGAGUGGCGGACGGGUGAGGAAUACAUCGGAAUCUACUUUUUCGUGGGGGAUAACGUAGGGAAACUUACGCUAAUACCGCAUACGACCUACGGGUGAAAGCAGGGGAUCUUCGGACCUUGCGCGAUUGAAUGAGCCGAUGUCGGAUUAGCUAGUUGGCGGGGUAAAGGCCCACCAAGGCGACGAUCCGUAGCUGGUCUGAGAGGAUGAUCAGACAGAUGGGAAGUGAGACAGGUCCCAGACUCUGACGGGAGGAAGCAGUGGGGAAUAUUGGACGAUGGGGGCGAGCCUGAUCCAGGCAUACCGCGUGGGUGAAGAAGGCGUUCGGGUUGGAAAGCCAUUUUGUUGUGAAAGAAAAGCAGCAGGUUAAUACCCCGCUGUUCUGACGGUACCCAAAGAAUAAGCACCGGCUAACUUCGUG
Molecule: ribosomal RNA, 492 nt
Filed under: uncultured bacterium
Lineage: Bacteria
Description: partial 16S ribosomal RNA
Rfam family: Bacterial small subunit ribosomal RNA
Source: RNAcentral